Molecule: long non-coding RNA, 247 nt
Organism: Pan troglodytes (chimpanzee)
Lineage: Eukaryota; Metazoa; Chordata; Mammalia; Primates; Hominidae
Exons: 2
Source: RefSeq, a predicted model, not a curated record
GGAGAACCGGCUGACUGUCACCAGCCCAGAAAAUGAAGGGUUUCAACUCGAGGAGCCAAAUAAUCCAUUGACCAAGAACAUCGGUCUUUAAUACCUUGUUACUCAGAGUGCGCUCCAAGAAGAAGCUGCACCAGCAUCACCUGGGAACUUGUUAGAAAUGCAGACUCUCAGGCUCCUCCUCAGACCUCCUGAAUCAAUCUGCUUGUUAUUCAGAUCCUCAGGCAAUUCCUAUUCACUUCAAAGUUUG